RNAcentral lists this ribosomal RNA (253 nucleotides) under uncultured bacterium. Its description in RNAcentral is "partial 16S ribosomal RNA". It matches the Rfam family "Bacterial small subunit ribosomal RNA", at positions 524 to 776 of the family's 1533-position model. The record is from RNAcentral.
UACGUAGGUGACAAGCGUUGUCCGGAUUUACUGGGCGUAAAGAGCGCGCAGGCGGUCGUUCAAGUCGAGUGUGAAAGCCCCCGGCUCAACUGGGGAGGGUCACGCGAUACUGAUCGACUCGAAGGCAGGAGAGGGAAGUGGAAUUCCCGGUGUAGUGGUGAAAUGCGUAGAUAUCGGGAGGAACACCAGUGGCGAAGGCGACUUCCUGGCCUGUUCUUGACGCUGAGGCGCGAAAGCUAGGGGAGCAAACGGG